RNAcentral lists this ribosomal RNA (488 nucleotides) under Gemella morbillorum. Its description in RNAcentral is "bacterial SSU rRNA". It matches the Rfam family "Bacterial small subunit ribosomal RNA", at positions 28 to 496 of the family's 1533-position model. The record is from RNAcentral. Lineage: Bacteria; Bacillati; Bacillota; Bacilli; Caryophanales; Gemellaceae.
GACGAACGCUGGCGGCGUGCCUAAUACAUGCAAGUCGAGCGAAGUUUUUCUGGUGCUUGCACUAGAAAAACUUAGCGGCGAACGGGUGAGUAACACGUAAAGAACCUGCCUCAUAGACUGGGACAACUAUUGGAAACGAUAGCUAAUACCGGAUAACAGCAUUAACUGCAUGGUUGAUGUUUGAAAGUUGGUUAUGCUAACACUAUGAGAUGGCUUUGCGGUGCAUUAGCUAGUUGGUGGGGUAAAGGCCCACCAAGGCGACGAUGCAUAGCCGACCUGAGAGGGUGAUCGGCCACACUGGGACUGAGACACGGCCCAGACUCCUACGGGAGGCAGCAGUAGGGAAUCUUCCGCAAUGGGCGAAAGCCUGACGGAGCAACGCCGCGUGAGUGAAGAAGGAUCUCGGUUCGUAUAGCUCUGUCGUUAGGGAAGAAUGGAUAUGUAGUAACUAUACAUGUACGAGACGGUACCUAACCAGAAAGCCACGG